AUUGAACGCUGGCGGCAUGCUUUACACAUGCAAGUCGGACGGCAGCACAGAGAAGCUUGCUUCUUGGGUGGCGAGUGGCGAACGGGUGAGUAACAUAUCGGAACGUACCGAGUAAUGGGGGAUAACUAAUCGAAAGAUUAGCUAAUACCGCAUAUUCUCUGAGGAGGAAAGCAGGGGACCUUCGGGCCUUGCGUUAUUCGAGCGGCCGAUAUCUGAUUAGCUAGUUGGUGGGGUAAAGGCCUACCAAGGCGACGAUCAGUAGCGGGUCUGAGAGGAUGAUCCGCCACACUGGGACUGAGACACGGCCCAGACUCCUACGGGAGGCAGCAGUGGGGAAUUUUGGACAAUGGGCGCAAGCCUGAUCCAGCCAUGCCGCGUGUCUGAAGAAGGCCUUCGGGUUGUAAAGGACUUUUGUCAGGGAAGAAAAGGCUGUUGCUAAUACCGACAGCUGAUGACGGUACCUGAAGAAUAAGCACCGGCUAACUACGUGCCAGCAGCCGCGGUAAUACGUAGGGUGCGAGCGUUAAUCGGAAUUACUGGGCGUAAAGCGAGCGCAGACGGUUACUUAAGCAGGAUGUGAAAUCCCCGGGCUCAACCUGGGGAACUGCGUUCUGAACUGGGUGACUAGAGUGUGUCAGAGGGGAGGUAGAAUUCCACGUGUAGCAGUGAAAUGCGUAGAGAUGUGGAGGAAUACCGAUGGCGAAGGCAGCCUCCUGGGAUAACACUGACGUUCAUGCUCGAAAACGUGGGUAGGAACAGGAUAAGAUACCCCCGCUGGUCUAAGGCGGAAUCAUCUUUGGGCUGCAGGCCCGGGGGAGCGCCUACUAUAGGGCGGGCGCCCCGCGGAGCUUCCAGUUCGCGAGAGGGAGAAUGGAAAAAAGCGGGCUCCCCGCCCAACAGAUACAGAAAACAACGGCCUUGCGUGUAGAGGG
Molecule: ribosomal RNA, 932 nt
Filed under: Neisseria cinerea
Lineage: Bacteria; Pseudomonadati; Pseudomonadota; Betaproteobacteria; Neisseriales; Neisseriaceae
Description: bacterial SSU rRNA
Rfam family: Bacterial small subunit ribosomal RNA
Source: RNAcentral